AUUGAACGCUGGCGGCAGGCCUAACACAUGCAAGUCGAGCGGAUGCAGGGAGCUUGCUCCUGGAUUCAGCGGCGGACGGGUGAGUAAUGCCUAGGAAUCUGCCUGGUAGUGGGGGAUAACGUCCGGAAACGGGCGCUAAUACCGCAUACGCCCUGAGGGAGAAAGUGGGGGAUCUUCGGACCUCACGCUAUCAGAUGAGCCUAGGUCGGAUUAGCUAGUUGGUGGGGUAAAGGCCUACCAAGGCGACGAUCCGUAACUGGUCUGAGAGGAUGAUCAGUCACACUGGAACUGAGACACGGUCCAGACUCCUACGGGAGGCAGCAGUGGGGAAUAUUGGACAAUGGGCGAAAGCCUGAUCCAGCCAUGCCGCGUGUGUGAAGAAGGUCUUCGGAUUGUAAAGCACUUUAAGUUGGGAGGAAGGGCAGUAAGUUAAUACCUUGCUGUUUUGACGUUACCAACAGAAUAAGCACCGGCUAACUUCGUG
Molecule: ribosomal RNA, 484 nt
Filed under: uncultured bacterium
Lineage: Bacteria
Description: partial 16S ribosomal RNA
Rfam family: Bacterial small subunit ribosomal RNA
Source: RNAcentral